UUUUUUUUUUUUUGUCACAAUAAACGGUUGUAUUAAACCAAGAAAAAAUUACAAUCCGGAUGGACAGAGUUUCCUUCAUUCAAGAAGGUAUAUCAUCUAACCGAAAGUAUGUAAAUACUCCGGACGCUUAGAUAACAUAACCUUUCAAGUCCGAAGAGAAAACCCACAAAAAAAGGGCCUCGUUAAAACCCCUCAAGAGCAAAACCCUGUGGGAAAAAAACUCAAGGGGGAAAAAGAGUACCCUACAAAAAAUACAUCGAUUACAAAAUAGACUAAAAAUGAAGUCUUCUUUAUUCCUUUCUAUCUUUGUUUGUAGCUCAACUGUCUUGUCCACCAAAAUUCGCGUCUUCUCGGAAGACGCCUUAAUAGAUAAAUUCUUAAAUGCUUUUUCAAACAUCCUGAAAAUAAGACAAAACAGAAUGAACGAAUGUGAGCAAAUUUAAAAUUAAAAUAAAAGACAUAAACGAGCCAACAUUAUGGCACUUAAAUGCCUCUUAUGGGCCAAUAAUGCCCCAAUAAUGGUCGCCAUAAAUGGUCACCAUAAAUGGUACUAAAACCUUAAUUAAGAAUAAUUAGUAUCCUUAAUUAAGGCACAAUUAUCGCCAAAAUAGUCUUCUUCUCCACCCUUUCUGGACCUAUCCAUCACCACCAUGGAUAUG
This 659-nucleotide long non-coding RNA is filed under the name Daucus carota (carrot). RNAcentral describes it as "long non-coding RNA (DCAR_LNC005828)". Lineage: Eukaryota; Viridiplantae; Streptophyta; Magnoliopsida; Apiales; Apiaceae. The record is from RNAcentral.